GACGUAGGAUGCAAGCGUUGUCCGGAUUUAUUGGGCGUAAAGAGUUCGUAGGCGGUUAGUUAAGUCUGAUGUUAAAGACCGUGGCUCAACCACGGAAAUGCAUUGGAUACUGGCUAACUUGAGUGCGGUAGAGGCGAGUGGAAUUCCCAGUGUAGCGGUGAAAUGCGUAGAUAUUGGGAAGAACACCAGUGGCGUAAGCGACUCGCUGGGCCGUAACUGACGCUGAGGAACGAAAGCCAGGGGAGCGAAU
This 250-nucleotide ribosomal RNA is filed under the name uncultured archaeon. Its description in RNAcentral is "partial 16S ribosomal RNA". It matches the Rfam family "Bacterial small subunit ribosomal RNA", at positions 524 to 773 of the family's 1533-position model. The record is from RNAcentral.